AGUGAACGCUGGCGGUAGGCCUAACACAUGCAAGUCGAACGGCAGCACAGUAAGAGCUUGCUCUUACGGGUGGCGAGUGGCGGACGGGUGAGGAAUACAUCGGAAUCUACUUUUUCGUGGGGGAUAACGUAGGGAAACUUACGCUAAUACCGCAUACGACCUACGGGUGAAAGCAGGGGAUCUUCGGACCUUGCGCGAUUGAAUGAGCCGAUGUCGGAUUAGCUAGUUGGCGGGGUAAAGGCCCACCAAGGCGACGAUCCGUAGCUGGUCUGAGAGGAUGAUCAGGCCAACUGGAACCGAGACAACGGCCCAACUCCUACGGGAGGCAGCAGUGGGGAAUAUUGGACAAUGGGCGCAAGCCUGAUCCAGCCAUACCGCGUGGGUGAAGAAGGCCUUCGGGUUGUAAAGCCCUUUUGUUGGGAAAGAAAAGCAGCAGGUUAAUACCCCGCUGUUCUGACGGUACCCAAAGAAUAAGCACCGGCUAACUUCGUG
Molecule: ribosomal RNA, 492 nt
Filed under: uncultured bacterium
Lineage: Bacteria
Description: partial 16S ribosomal RNA
Rfam family: Bacterial small subunit ribosomal RNA
Source: RNAcentral